ACCAUGAUUGGGUUGCUCCGUAGCCAACCCAUGGCCCACUAAGCGCUUUUAGGGCCUAGCCUUGCACACGGCACCCAAGCCCACCGAUAUUGGGCUAUGGUUUUUCAAAUCCAAUGUUAUUUUUUGGCAUUCUCUAUAAUUUUAAUUCGAAUGUUAUUAUUAUUUUUGCUUCUACAAUUAAACCUGAAUGGUUACGAUCUAUUGAAUUAAUUAAAGUGACCAGCAGUCCAUUAAUCUAACAAUUAAUCCAAAAUUAUUGGCCUAAAUUUCACUUUUUGGCAAUUAACAAUUCAAUAAAUUAUUUUGUUUCUUUGAACCGUUGACAAUCUUUCGUAGUCCCGAUGCACUCACACUUGGGUGCCUGAAGCAAUCCACAAAUUCACUACACUUUAUUGUAUAUUGUCUUCUGUGUUCUUGCAGGUACCCCUAUAUAUGAAUUGAACGUUCAUAACUAAAUCGAACAUGUAGUUUCAAAUUUAGUGCCUUUGAAACUCGCAGUUUUCAUUCAAAACUUACCACAUGAAACUCGUAGCUUUCAUGCUUAAAUUAAACUAGCACAUGUUUAUAGAACCUGCAUGUUCUACGAUAUAUGUCCAUGGCUUUCCAUACCACUAACCACGUUUUAUUGUACCCUCCGUUUUAGGGAUAUGUCAAACUUGAACAAGCUCAAUUUCAUCGCUUUGGAAGUCUCUGGAAAAAAACUGCCUAAAGUGGGUUCAAGAUGUGAAGCUCCAUAUUACUGCAAAGAGUCUUAGAGUUACUAUCGAGGGAACUUA
Molecule: long non-coding RNA, 776 nt
Filed under: Malus domestica (apple)
Lineage: Eukaryota; Viridiplantae; Streptophyta; Magnoliopsida; Rosales; Rosaceae
Description: long non-coding RNA (MDOM_LNC000881)
Source: RNAcentral